AUAAUUGCCACGCCCUUGGUUCCUUGCAUUAAAACUUUAAGAGCUCCAUUAAGAGACUGCCUCAGACUGGCCAGUAGGGAAGGUCUGUAGUAGGAGCUGUGCAUCUGAUAAUACGUUUGCUGGGAGAAAGCAAUAAGGGAGUGGCUGCUAGGAUCAAAAUGGUUGCCAGUUGUGAGGGUGAAAGUUCUAAAGCUGUUGUAGUUCCUCCCGUUCAGGAGUAGCCUUGACCCGGGGUACUGGCAGGAGUUAGGGAAGAGGAAACUCGAAGAGUAUCAGCUAAGAGAGGACCCGGUCCCUAUCAGGGGCAGCUAUGAUUGAGAACUACAGGAACAUUAGCACUCCUUUCCUAUUCCUGGAUUAUACUGCUUUUGAUGUGGGAUACCAGCCUACUGGACUAGACUUCCCAUCUCCUGGUCUCCUACGAAACAUGAACACAAUUGCCUCCUUCAACAACAUUGACAAGGAGUUACUUGAUACCUGUGGUCGUCUCAUUUUGGAGAGUAUUAAAAAUGGUGAUUGCCUCAAAAACCCUUCACUCUUGACAUCGUUCCUGUUACUCACGUACGCCGACUUAAAGAAAUAUUGUUUCAUUAUUGGUUUGGAUUCCCUGCCCUCUCCCCCUCCAGUCCAUUCACUUAUAGAUCUAUUAGUCGUUUGGAUACUUUUUUAAAGACUCCGACCUCCAGCACUUGGUAUCUCAUUACAACGACUUUCAAUCGGAACACAAAAGUGUUGGGUUCUUCCUAGUUGACUGUUCCUAAAAUAACUGGCUGGGAAAGAAACAAAAGGUGAUGGUGAGGUAUUCAUUGGUCCUUAGAGGAGAGGUCAGCUAUUGAAUGAGGAGGAGUAGCUGUGACUAUUACCAUUACUGAUUAUACCAUCACCUCAUACAUGUAUGAUCAACCCUCCAGUGGAUCCUUAUAAGGUCAUGAUAAGGAUGGUUGCUAAUAUUUAUCUGAGAAGAUCUAUUAAUUUUGAUGUUGGCAGACAAUGGAACGAUGAAAAGAACCAGUGGGUCAGUCCUCUUGUCCUCCUCUUCUCACUCCCUCUCCUUAUGUUGGUGCCUCCAGUGAGUCCCUUAACUUGUCAAGUCUCAUCAGUUCAGCUAACAUUGGACCCACCUGAGGCUUAACCUCUAACAAGUACCUCUACUAGUAUAUACAUGUAUAAACAUGACUUUAACAUCUAAAUGAUAUACAUGUACAUGUACAUUUACAUGUAGAUAUA
Molecule: long non-coding RNA, 1227 nt
Organism: Amphimedon queenslandica
Lineage: Eukaryota; Metazoa; Porifera; Demospongiae; Haplosclerida; Niphatidae
Exons: 4
Source: RefSeq, a predicted model, not a curated record